Molecule: long non-coding RNA, 723 nt
Organism: Cimex lectularius (bed bug)
Lineage: Eukaryota; Metazoa; Arthropoda; Insecta; Hemiptera; Cimicidae
Exons: 2
Source: RefSeq, a predicted model, not a curated record
ACCAGGUGAUUAACUAGAUAAAAUAAAUUUUUUGUUGUUUUAAAAUGUUUUCAAGUUCUUUUGCUGUGACAAGGACGGGAAAAUUUCUAUUAAAAAAGAUCGAUAUUAAUGAUCGAAUCAUUGACAUGACAUGGUCGACAGGGGCCUGUUAUAUAAUCACAUUCACAGUAACGACUCCAGUAGCACAUGAGCCGGAGGGGAAGAAGGGAAAACUAUACAUCAGAAUGAAGUUUGACCAGUGUAAAACAUAUGUUUGCAUUUUGACAUAGUAAGGAGUGACGUCCUCUUUUCCAGGGAUGCUCUUGCGUUCGGCCCUAAACCUAUAUCGCUUUUAAAUCCUGCUUUCUUUUUAAUCCGGGGUAGGUUUUUAGUAUUUCGGCAUUUAUCCGCCUUGUUCGAGAAUUGGUUAACACGGUGAAAGUGUCCAAGACUUUCACGCACACUACAAACCGUUUCAGCCGUUUGAGAAAAGAAAAAAAAUCACGUUCUUCCGAUUCUCCUUUAGGUCCGAUGUGUGCGAGACGGCCUCAAGACCUAUUGGGCUCCGAAUCCGUUCGACUUGAUUCAUUAGGAAGGCGAGUGUUUUUCUUUCAAAAUAUGGGCUAACGAAAAAAGUUUUCGAUAUGGCUGUUGUUAUUGAAACGACGUUGGGUGACAUCACGGUCGAUCUGUAUACAGAUGAAAGACCACAAACAUGCAAGAACUUCCUCAAGCUGUGCAAAG